Molecule: small nuclear RNA, 107 nt
Filed under: Jaculus jaculus (lesser Egyptian jerboa)
Lineage: Eukaryota; Metazoa; Chordata; Mammalia; Rodentia; Dipodidae
Source: RNAcentral
GUGCUCGCUUCGGCAGCACAUAUACUAAAAUUGGAAGGAUACAGAGAAGAUUACCAUGGCCCCUGCGCAAGGAUGACACACAAAUUCGUGAAGCGUUCCACAUUUUU